AUACGUAGGUGGCAAGCGUUGUCCGGAAUUACUGGGUGUAAAGGGAGCGCAGGCGGGCGUGCAAGUCAGCUGUGAAAUCCAUGGGCUUAACCCGUGGGCUGCAGUUGAAACUGUAUGUCUUGAGUGAAGUAGAGGUAGGCGGAAUUCCGAGUGUAGCGGUAAAAUGCGUAGAUAUUCGGAGGAACACCGGUGGCGAAGGCGGCCUACUGGGCUUUAACUGACGCUGAGGCUCGAAAGUGUGGGGAGCAAACAGGAUUAGAUACCCUGGUAGUCCACGCUGUAAACGAUGAAUACUAGGUGUAGGGGGUAUCGACUCCCCCUGUGCCGCAGCUAACGCAUUAAGUAUUCCACCUGAGUAGUACGGUCGCAAGACUGAAACUUAAAGGAAUUGACGGGG
RNAcentral lists this ribosomal RNA (397 nucleotides) under uncultured bacterium. RNAcentral's name for it is "partial 16S ribosomal RNA". It matches the Rfam family "Bacterial small subunit ribosomal RNA", at positions 523 to 918 of the family's 1533-position model. The record is from RNAcentral.